This 65-nucleotide transfer RNA is filed under the name Notodoris gardineri. RNAcentral's name for it is "tRNA-His". The record is from RNAcentral. Lineage: Eukaryota; Metazoa; Mollusca; Gastropoda; Nudibranchia; Polyceridae.
UAAAGGUUAGUUUAACUUAAAAUAAUAGCCUGUGGAGCUUUAGAUAAUUAUAAUAUUACCUUUAC